AACGAACGCUGGCGGCGCGCCUAAUACAUGCAAGUCGAGCGAGAAGACGUAGCAAUACGUUUGCAAAGCGGCGAACGGGUGAGGAAUACAUGGGUAACCUACCCUCGAGUGGGGAAUAACUAGCCGAAAGGUUAGCUAAUACCGCGUACGCUCCUUGGACUUCGGUUCAGGGAGGAAAGCGAUACCGUGGGUAUCGCGCUCUUGGAUGGGCUCAUGUCCUAUCAGCUUGUUGGGAGGUAACGGCUCACCAAGGCUUCGACGGGUAGCUGGUCUGAGAGGACGAUCAGCCACACUGGCACUGCGACACGGGCCAGACUCCUACGGGAGGCAGCAGUGAGGAAUAUUGCGCAAUGGGCGAAAGCCUGACGCAGCGACGCCGCGUGGGGGAUGAAGGUCUUCGGAUUGUAAACCCCUUUCGGGAGGGAGAUGGGACGAGCAAUCGUUCGGACGGUACCUCCAGAAGCAGCCACGGCUAACUUCGUGCC
RNAcentral lists this ribosomal RNA (485 nucleotides) under uncultured bacterium. RNAcentral describes it as "bacterial SSU rRNA". It matches the Rfam family "Bacterial small subunit ribosomal RNA", at positions 29 to 509 of the family's 1533-position model. The record is from RNAcentral.